UAAAAUCUUAGUGGCGGACGGGUGAGUAACGCGUGGGUAACCUGCCUUACACUGGGGGAUAACACUUAGAAAUAGGUGCUAAUACCGCAUAAGCGCACGAAGCCGCAUGGAUUUGUGUGAAAAACUCCGGUGGUGUAAGAUGGACCCGCGUCUGAUUAGCUUGUUGGCGGGGUAACGGCCCACCAAGGCGACGAUCAGUAGCCGGCCUGAGAGGGUGGACGGCCACAUUGGGACUGAGACACGACCCAAACUCCUACGGGAGGCAGCAG
Molecule: ribosomal RNA, 269 nt
Filed under: uncultured bacterium
Lineage: Bacteria
Description: partial 16S ribosomal RNA
Rfam family: Bacterial small subunit ribosomal RNA
Source: RNAcentral